CAGAGGGUAGUUUAUAUAAAAAUUUUAAUUUUGGAGAUUAAAGAAAUUAGUUUUCCUCUGA
RNAcentral lists this transfer RNA (61 nucleotides) under Aiolocaria hexaspilota. Its description in RNAcentral is "tRNA-Pro". The record is from RNAcentral. Lineage: Eukaryota; Metazoa; Arthropoda; Insecta; Coleoptera; Coccinellidae.